UGGCUACGACAGGGGAGCGCCGUCAGGGGCGCUGAGAGUGCAGAAGAAGCUGCAGACCCUCGAACCUGAUGCGGUUAGCACCGUCGAAGGAAGUCGAGACUCUUCACCC
RNAcentral lists this non-coding RNA (109 nucleotides) under Brevibacterium linens. Its description in RNAcentral is "TPP sequence". It matches the Rfam family "TPP riboswitch aptamer (THI element)". Rfam says of the family: Vitamin B(1) in its active form thiamin pyrophosphate (TPP) is an essential coenzyme that is synthesised by coupling of pyrimidine and thiazole moieties in bacteria. The previously detected thiamin-regulatory element, thi box was extended, resulting in a new, highly conserved RNA secondary structure, the THI element, which is widely distributed in eubacteria and also occurs in some archaea. Analysis of operon structures identified a large number of new candidate thiamin-regulated genes, mostly transporters, in various prokaryotic organisms. The record is from Rfam by way of RNAcentral. Lineage: Bacteria; Bacillati; Actinomycetota; Actinomycetes; Micrococcales; Brevibacteriaceae.